RNA transcript from Octopus bimaculoides (California two-spot octopus), 1366 nucleotides. It is a transcript of the gene named actin-binding Rho-activating protein, with no coding region annotated. NCBI's taxonomy places the organism in Eukaryota, Metazoa, Mollusca, Cephalopoda, Octopoda, Octopodidae. The record is from RefSeq and is a predicted model, not a curated record.
GCUGCCAAACAGGGGAGAUAAUAAUGUCACUUGCCAUAAGAUAUGAGAGAAAAGUUUGAAUUUUGGUGUUACUGAGUAUGUAGAGCAACAUAUGUAUGAAUUACAGGUUUUCAUAAAAUCCUGUCAAAAAAAAACAAAAAAACUAAACAUUAUUUGUGUGUAAAACACAUUGCUAAACAAAGGAAGUAAUGAAAUUGUUUAUUCUGAUAUUGUAAGAGAAAAUAGCUGUAAUGUUGUUGGUUGUAAAAGAGUUAAGUUCUUCCUGAAAACAAAUUUCAGUGUAACAGCUCUGGAAUCAUAUAAUUAGUUCCUACACAUUUGAUAGCAUGCCAUCUAUCAGUUUAGCCUGAAGUGCCAAGAUUGUUUUCAUUUCACCAGAUGCUUCUUCUAUAACAUCUAUUGGUUGGAGAGUUACUUCUCAGAAACUCUAGAAGAGAGAGAGAAAGGAAAAAAAAAAGAAAAACAAAAAAAGGAGAAGAAAAAGAAACUGAAUUUAAAAACGUGAAGAUUACUCUCCUAAGUAAUUAACUUUUCCAAAGUUUCCCCAAGUAAGCCUGCCCAGGGAUUGAGUUGUGUGCAACUUCUUUUACUUUCAAAGCACUUUACAGCUGAUGAAUUAAGAUCUAGACCAUAUUGGAGUGAUUCAAGAAGGUGAUAUUAUUGGUAAAAAGAACAGCUUGGUGUAUUGGUGAUCAGUCCACAGCAUUGGAGAGCAUAAAGAUUGAAGUUGCGACGAGAAAAACUUAGCCGACAUGAAUGACUGGAAACAAUGUGGAUAUUGGAAAAGAGUAACCUGUAUGACGAUGGUUUGUACCGAGUGUCAAAAUGCCAAUAUCAUGACUGCUGCUCAAUUCUCUGGACACUAUAAAAACGAUGAGAUGGACAGCUUCAAUGGAGACUACAAAAACACGGUCAUCAGGAAGGGACACAACAGACAAUAUGACUGAGUCCACACUCCAGAAUUCAGCCUCACUUCUUUGAAAAGAGCCAUUGGCUUGAUUCAAAUGCUAUGUGAAGCUGCUGGAGACUGGGUUGGUAGCAGGAUUCAACUCCUUGCCAUCCCUCCAGAAAGAGUCAGAAGUAGUUGUCACAGAAUUUCUAUCACUUCACCAGCCCCCCCCCCCCUCAAAUUUCUGGUCUCUUAAUUUUCCUGAUUGUAAUAUCCGGAUUACUAUGUGUAGGGAAUGGUUGAGAAAGACAACAACUGCUGUGCCUGAAGCCCCAAGAUUGCGCUGGUAGCCAAGAUCAAAGUGGUGUUUGAAGAUCUUCCUAGGGACACAGUGAAGAAUGCAUGCACCAGGUUCCAGAGUCAUCAUGAGGCCUGGGUGGAAGCUGAGGGUUGCCACUUUGAGGAAACUUAUCUCUC